GUGCCCCUGGGCUGCUCUCUCAUCCGAGGGUCGUUCUCGUCGAGAGUAGAAUCCCGCAGUCUCAGGGGUUACCUGGGGGUGUGUAUUUCAAUACUUCUGCUGGAUGACUCUGUGUGUGAGUCUGUGUGUGUAUGUGUGUGUGUGAGCCUGUGUGUGUCUGUGUGUGUGUCUCCCAUUCUCUCUUCUCUCUCUGUCUCUCAGUCUCUGUGUGUUUCUUUCCCACUCUCUGUGGGUUUGUGUGUGCGUGUGCCGGUGGAAGGGGAAAACAGGUGACAUUUCCAUCAAUGCCAAGGAAAAUCGAAAACACCUGGGACCCGAGGGGUGUGGGGGGGGCCUGUGACUGACCCAAGCCACGUUUUCGAAUGCCUACCGGAGGAGCAAAGAGGUUUCUGCAAAAUUCGCCCCAACCCCAACCCUCCAAGGCCCUGGCAGCCCUGACGCAACUUCGGCUGCACAGAGCCCCAGCCCCAGCCCCCAGCCCUAGACCAGUCCCUUUGUUUCCCUUACAUUCGUUUCGGCCAGAAGAUCAAGGGGUUCAGUCCACCCAGGAGCAGAGGAGAGGAUGUCCCUCAAGAAUGAGACAGGAAGUGCAGAGGAAAUGCGACACCACCUGUCGUGGAAGACAAGGCCAGUCACGGUCGCCUAGCGCUCAUUCUAGGUAAUCCACCCACCCAUGAGGGGAAACGUGGAGAAGACACCUGCCUGAGACACCUAUGGAAGCCAAGUGUUCCCGGGCCAUGAGACCUGCCCAAUCAAGCAGAAACACAUUUGGAGAGACAAACAAUCACGACACGGGUCUCCAGGAAGUGUCUCCCUGACGGAGUGGGAAGUCAUCUUAGUUGAAGGCAUUUGGCCAGAGCGAGAGGCAUCCAGGUCCCUGAGAAACAGGGGAGGCAGAGCAAGAGGGAGGACAGAGCAGAGGCCGGAGCCCAGGCAGGAUACAGCACCUUGCCACCGUCACAGGCAUAAGGGGUGGGGUUCCUAAAGGGUGGCUUGUGCAGGGAGGCCAGCGUUCCAGGGACAGGGAUUGUUGCCAUCUCUCAUUCCUGGCUUCCUCUUGCUGACUGUAUCGUGGUGUGGCUUCAUUUCUCAGAGAAGAGCCGCGAAAAGACUCAAACAUCUUCUCUGACGUGGGUCCGCUGAUCUCCUGUGGGACAAAGAGCUCCUGUGGGGCUCUUGUCCUCAUCUGCAGUGUGUUCCUCUUGAUGCUAGAAAAGAGGACGCUCAGGAUGGGGACGAGACAGCAAUUGCUCCAAGACCGACGCAUCUUCUCACGUGGGCCAGGCUUUCACGCAGCCAAAGCAGAUCCGCGGGGGCGAAAACGAUUGACAACCGGCCUCAUGACCCAGGCAGAGACACAGAAAGAGGUUCAACAAAGACAGGCCGCCAUGCAAGAGACAGCUCUGUGGUUCACAGGGCAUAUUCAGCCAAAGACACACAAGCACACGGGCACACACACACAAACCCACAGAGAGUGGGAAAGAAACACACAGAGACUGAGAGACAGAGAGAGAAGGGAGAAUGGGAGACACACACACACACAAACAAAGGGUCAUACAGCAGAGGCAUUGAAACACACACCACCAGGCAACCCCUGAGGCUGCGGGGUUCUGCUGUCAACCAGAACGACCCUCGGGUGAAAGAGCAGCCCAGGGGCACGCAGGCCAACCGGUCCUCGAGAUCACGGACGGCGGCACGACAUUUGGGGAGACUCACUCCAACCAACACCGUCCGGGCAGGCCUGAGGCUGGGAGCCCCUGCUGCUUCCCCCGUCUCCGCCUGGGGGAGCCCACCACCUACCCACCCUCCAUUCACCUCCCCUCCUUAAGGCUCACUAAGCUCUAUUUACCUUUUGUAACUCCAUCCCUCCGUAAGUACACAACUCUCCUAGCUGGUUUCCUAGAGGGCAGAUACAGUGUUUCCAGUUGGCCCUCUGCAGAUAUCUAUGAACAAGUCUCUCCCAGCCCCUACAUAUAAAUAUGUGUGUUCUAGACAGACGGGCCUAAGUCCCAAUGUAAACACAUCACAAGAUAAUUACACCUUAUAUGCAUACAGAUCUCUCUAUAGAGUUAUAUUUGAAAGUGUCUAUAACUCUAGAGAGAGAUUGCAGCAUGCACAUAUAGGACUGUAAUUACUUAUAUGUAUUUUUAUAACUAUGUAGUUAUAAAUAGAUAUGCCUAUAUAUAGUGAUAAUAAUAUAGCAAUAUCUCCAUAGCCAUAUAUGGCUCUAAAUGAAUGCUCUAACUACUCUAUUUCACAAUCAAUAAGUAUAUAUCUUCUGAUACAUAAUUCUAACAAUAUACGUUUUUAUCUAUAUAGCUGUUCAGAGAUAUAAAUCUGUCAGGAUAUCAAAUGUACAUAAAGCUGGAUGGCUGUAAGAGAGUCGUAUAUUUUCCCAUAUAUAAAUCU
RNAcentral lists this long non-coding RNA (2409 nucleotides) under Homo sapiens (human). Its description in RNAcentral is "HSALNT0266204". Lineage: Eukaryota; Metazoa; Chordata; Mammalia; Primates; Hominidae. The record is from RNAcentral.